CUCGCGAGAGUAAGCUAAUCUCUUAAAGCCGUUCUCAGUUCGGACUGUAGGCUGCAACUCGCCUACACGAAGUCGGAAUCGCUAGUAAUCGCGGAUCAGCAUGCCGCGGUGAAUACGUUCCCGGGCCUUGUACACACCGCCCGUCACACCAUGAGAGUUGGGAUACCCGAAGCCUGUGAGCUAACUAUUUAUAGGAGCAGCAGUCGAAGGUAGAAUCAAUGAUUGGGGUGAAGUCGUAACAAGGUAAC
RNAcentral lists this ribosomal RNA (248 nucleotides) under uncultured bacterium. RNAcentral describes it as "partial 16S ribosomal RNA". It matches the Rfam family "Bacterial small subunit ribosomal RNA", at positions 1254 to 1500 of the family's 1533-position model. The record is from RNAcentral.